This 566-nucleotide ribosomal RNA is filed under the name Achromobacter spanius. RNAcentral's name for it is "bacterial SSU rRNA". It matches the Rfam family "Bacterial small subunit ribosomal RNA", at positions 89 to 651 of the family's 1533-position model. Lineage: Bacteria; Pseudomonadati; Pseudomonadota; Betaproteobacteria; Burkholderiales; Alcaligenaceae. The record is from RNAcentral.
UGGCGAGUGGCGAACGGGUGAGUAAUGUAUCGGAACGUGCCUGGUAGCGGGGGAUAACUACCCGAAAGCGUAGCUAAUACCGCAUACGCCCUACGGGGGAAAGCAGGGGAUCGCAAGACCUUGCACUAUUAGAGCGGCCGAUAUCGGAUUAGCUAGUUGGUGGGGUAACGGCUCACCAAGGCGACGAUCCGUAGCUGGUUUGAGAGGACGACCAGCCACACUGGGACUGAGACACGGCCCAGACUCCUACGGGAGGCAGCAGUGGGGAAUUUUGGACAAUGGGGGAAACCCUGAUCCAGCCAUCCCGCGUGUGCGAUGAAGGCCUUCGGAUUGUAAAGCACUUUUGGCAGGAAAGAAAGGUCCUGGGCUAAUACCCCGUGAAUCUGACGGUACCUGCAGAAUAAGCACCGGCUAACUACGUGCCAGCAGCCGCGGUAAUACGUAGGGUGCAAGCGUUAAUCGGAAUUACUGGGCGUAAAGCGUGCGCAGGCGGUUCGGAAAGAUGGAUGUGAAAUCCCAGAGCUUAACUUUGGAACUGCAUUUUUAACUACCGAGCUAGAGUGUGU